CCUACGGGAGGCAGCAGUGAGGAAUAUUGGUCAAUGGGCGCGAGCCUGAACCAGCCAAGUAGCGUGAAGGAUGACUGCCCUACGGGUUGUAAACUUCUUUUAUAAAGGAAUAAAGUGAGGCACGUGUGCCCUUUUGUAUGUACUUUAUGAAUAAGGAUCGGCUAACUCCGUGCCAGCAGCCUCGGUAAUACGGAGGAUCCGAGCGUUAUCCGGAUUUAUUGGGUUUAAAGGGAGCGUAGGGGGUGUGUUAAGUCGGUUGUGAAAGUUCGCGGCUCAACCGUAAAAUUGCAAUUGAUACUGGCAGCAUUGAGUACAGUUGAGGUAUGCGGAAGUCGUGGUGUAGCGGUGAAAUGCUUAGAUAUCACGAAGAACUCCGAUUGCGAAGGCAGCUUACUAAACUGCCACUGACGUUGAUGCUCGAAAGUGUGGGUAUCGAACAGGAUUAGAUACCCUUGUAGUC
This 460-nucleotide ribosomal RNA is filed under the name uncultured bacterium. RNAcentral's name for it is "partial 16S ribosomal RNA". It matches the Rfam family "Bacterial small subunit ribosomal RNA", at positions 338 to 795 of the family's 1533-position model. The record is from RNAcentral.